Molecule: ribosomal RNA, 253 nt
Filed under: uncultured microorganism
Description: partial 16S ribosomal RNA
Rfam family: Bacterial small subunit ribosomal RNA
Source: RNAcentral
UACGUAGGGUGCGAGCGUUAAUCGGAUUUACUGGGCGUAAAGCGUGCGCAGGCGGCCCGUUAAGACAGGUGUGAAAUCCCUGGGCUCAACCUAGGAAUUGCGCUUGUGACUGGCGGGCUCGAGUACGGUAGAGGGGGGUGGAAUUCCUGGUGUAGCAGUGAAAUGCGUAGAGAUCAGGAGGAACACCGAUGGCGAAGGCAGCCCCCUGGGCCUGCACUGACGCUGAGGCGCGAAAGCGUGGGGAGCAAACAGG